This 998-nucleotide long non-coding RNA is filed under the name Homo sapiens (human). Its description in RNAcentral is "long non-coding RNA NONHSAT152338.1". Lineage: Eukaryota; Metazoa; Chordata; Mammalia; Primates; Hominidae. The record is from RNAcentral.
GGCGACGACCGAACGCCCCCGGGAACACCGGGCCCCGAGCUCGGUCCCGCGCCCGAGGAUCCUCCACGGGGCUAGAUGGCUGCGUCGGGGGCGGGAGCGGAGGUGAGCGGGCGCUAGGGCCGCGAGCCCCCGCCGGCCCUUCCUCCAGCGCCCUGCGGACCCCGCAGAAGGCGCUCGCCUCCCUAGCCCGCAAAAACAUAUCGAUUUUUCUCGCUGUGGCAACGGGGACGUCCUGAUAGAUCCUCUGCUCCAAUAGGCAACUCCGGCCUUCCCUGCCCUGACCUGGAACCUCUGGGAGGGCUGCAGAGUAAGUGCCGCCUCUGCGCUCCGACGGAGGCACGAGGCCUGUGGAGUAGGUCCCUCUGUUCCGACAGGUGCGACACUUGGCGCUCCAUGCUUGCGGGUGCCGGGAGGCCUGGCCUCCCCCAGGGCCGCCACCUCUGCUGGUUGCUCUGUGCUUUCACCUUAAAGCUCUGCCAAGCAGAGGCUCCCGUGCAGGAAGAGAAGCUGUCAGGUGGCACCUCAAAUUUGCCAUGCUGGCUGGUGGAAGAGUUUGUGGUAGCAGAAGAGUGCUCUCCAUGCUCUAAUUUCCGGGCUAAAACUACCCCUGAGUGUGGUCCCACAGGAUAUGUAGAGAAAAUCACAUGCAGCUCAUCUAAGAGAAAUGAGUUCAAAAGCUGCCGCUCAGCUUUGAUGGAACAACGCUUAUUUUGGAAGUUCGAAGGGGCUGUCGUGUGUGUGGCCCUGAUCUUCGCUUGUCUUGUCAUCAUUCGUCAGCGACAAUUGGACAGAAAGGCUCUGGAAAAGGUCCGGAAGCAAAUCGAGUCCAUAUAGCUACAUUCCACCCUUGUAUCCUGGGUCUUAGAGACCCUAUCUCAGACAGUGAAAGUGAAAUGGACUGAUUUGCACUCUUGGUUCUUUGGAGCCUUGUGGUGGAAUCCCCUUUUCCCCAUCUUCUUCUUUCAGAUCAUUAAUGAGCAGAAUAAAAAGAGUAAAAU